GGCUCCUGCGCGGGAAAAGCCGAGGUUGCCACCGCAGGCCUGGCACGACCAGGGCCCGGAUGCCCCGCCCGGCCCGGCCCCCGCGCGCACAGGUACCUGGAGACGAUUUCAACUGAAGUAAUGAAGGCAGUGUCGUGCUGUCGAGAGAAAGGUGGAUCCCAACAACAGGAAACUACCUAAAUCACCGACCAGUUCUGGUGCUGCCAGCGCGGGGCUGCCUCGCCCGCCGCCGCCGCCGCCGCCGCCGCCGCCACCGCCGCAGCCAAGGGAGAACCCUGCGAUCGCGCCCGGCUCGGCCCCUUGCCAACCUGCGCCCGCGUUGCCACUGUGUGUCCCCCGCUGCCGCUAAGGCAUCGCGGCGGGAGAAGCCACCGGCCCCGGUUUGACCCUUUUAUGCAUGUAACUUCACAGUAUAAAGGAAACCCAAACAAUGUCUCCCUUCUCUAGUCUAUUCCGCUUGCCCAGCGCUCCUCGGAUUCUGUGAAUUUUAGGAAGGAAAAUAUAAAAGAGGAAGAAGAAAAAAGAAAAUGAGAAAGGAAACUCUCCACAAGAUAGGGAGAAUUGUGGUGUGCUUGUCGUGUUACCAGUGGUAACAAUUAUUUAAUGACCAAAAAAACCCCACUAAAUCUGCACGCAUAAACAAAACUAUAUUAGAUUAUUUAUCUACAGCCAGAAGGAUAUGAAAAUUCCGAGGUAAGUGAAAUAAUUUAGUCCCACAAUGCAAGACCUUACACAAACUGGAAGAGAAGUUUCCUUCUCUUGGUUAUUCUUUUUUUUUUUUCCUCCCUUUUAAAGCUGGGAUAUCUUACAGAGGAAGGAAAGAUUACUCGUUAUGACUCUCAAUUUUCUAAUCAGCCAAAGCCAAGCCCUUUUGCCAGCCUGCAUGUCCAUGCUUGCAAGCCCUUCUUUUUGCCAAGGAAGAGAGAAAGAAAGAAAAAAGAAACCCAGGGGCCUAUGUCCCCUGAUUAAACACAGCCCAGCACUCCAGGCAGGCGAGCCCGGUGGCGGCUCCUUGCACCAUUGACCUCAGGCCAGACACCUCAGCGCCUACAAGGGGACCUCGGCCUUCCGGCUAGGUUUGCCCGCCCCCGCAGGAAACCAGCUCCACCGGGAGGACAGGAGCCAUUUCCAGCAGAGGAACCCCGAGACAGCAAACCAGCCCAGUCACCACUCAACACUUGAGGAUAAUAUUUCUCUCUAUAGAAAUGCAGCACGAUAUGGCUUUUUCCCCCAGAAAACAAGUAAACCAGCACAAGCAAACAGACAAAGAAACAAAAAGUCAGAACAAACCAGCCCUGCACAGAUGUGACGGCCAUCGAGAUGGCAAGUGUGGGAGGGAGGAGUGGGACUCCGGCACAGGUGCGAGUUCCUGGGCAGAGGCCGAAGACAGAGGGAGGAAAACGGCUCUCUGGCAGCGGGAAAAAUCGGCGUUGCCUGGAGCUUCAUCAGGAAAAAUUAAAAUUGGCUGUGAGCUCCCGGA
Long non-coding RNA from Neogale vison (American mink), 1480 nucleotides. RefSeq lists it as uncharacterized. The transcript is spliced from 2 exons. The record is from RefSeq and is a predicted model, not a curated record. Lineage: Eukaryota; Metazoa; Chordata; Mammalia; Carnivora; Mustelidae.